This is a non-coding RNA of Trichobilharzia regenti, 46 nucleotides long. The record is from Rfam. NCBI's taxonomy places the organism in Eukaryota, Metazoa, Platyhelminthes, Trematoda, Strigeidida, Schistosomatidae.
GUACUGAUGAAGAGUCCCAAACCAGGAGGAAACAGCUGUCAGGUAC